CUUUCAGCUCCCACCCAGGUGGCCUGUCCUCACGGGCCUUGGAGUGGAGACUUGAGCCACCAACUGUCAGAGGUGGAGACUUCACAGGCACAGCUGGAGCCAAGAACCCUGGUGCCCAAUUGUCUGUGACUGCAACUGGAUCAAGGGUUUGACUGUGGCUAUGGCUUAGCCAGGCAGGAUGUUUCCUCCACCACCUGCAGCUUCACAACCAACGGUGAUCCUGGGAACCAAUGGCCCAAUGAAGAACCCUCCCCAGCUGGAAGG
This 264-nucleotide long non-coding RNA is filed under the name Homo sapiens (human). Its description in RNAcentral is "non-protein coding lnc-NBPF15-7:1". Lineage: Eukaryota; Metazoa; Chordata; Mammalia; Primates; Hominidae. The record is from RNAcentral.